GAUGAACGCUGGCGGCGUGCCUAAUACAUGCAAGUCGAGCGAACAGACGAGGAGCUUGCUCCUCUGACGUUAGCGGCGGACGGGUGAGUAACACGUGGAUAACCUACCUAUAAGACUGGGAUAACUUCGGGAAACCGGAGCUAAUACCGGAUAAUAUAUUGAACCGCAUGGUUCAAUAGUGAAAGACGGUUUUGCUGUCACUUAUAGAUGGAUCCGCGCCGCAUUAGCUAGUUGGUAAGGUAACGGCUUACCAAGGCAACGAUGCGUAGCCGACCUGAGAGGGUGAUCGGCCACACUGGAACUGAGACACGGUCCAGACUCCUACGGGAGGCAGCAGUAGGGAAUCUUCCGCAAUGGGCGAAAGCCUGACGGAGCAACGCCGCGUGAGUGAUGAAGGUCUUCGGAUUGUAAAACUCUGUUAUUAGGGAAGAACAAAUGUGUAAGUAACUAUGCACGUCUUGACGGUACCUAAUCAGAAAGCCACGGCUAACUAC
This 494-nucleotide ribosomal RNA is filed under the name uncultured bacterium. RNAcentral describes it as "partial 16S ribosomal RNA". It matches the Rfam family "Bacterial small subunit ribosomal RNA", at positions 28 to 504 of the family's 1533-position model. The record is from RNAcentral.